This 3009-nucleotide long non-coding RNA is filed under the name Sander lucioperca (pikeperch). Its description in RNAcentral is "lncRNA (ENSSLUG00000006744.1)". The record is from RNAcentral. Lineage: Eukaryota; Metazoa; Chordata; Actinopteri; Perciformes; Percidae.
AUUCCAAUAAUUCCCCAGGUUCAGGUGCAUCAUAUUUUAUAAGCUGGAAUGUUCCUACAUUUACUCGGGUACACCUACUUUGUUUUGAGGUAGCCUACUUGUUGUACUUGACUUGGGUAUUCCCCCCGUUGCCUAAAGACACACCCACCUGAGCCCCCCUCCCGGACUAUCGAGGCAAAUAUGGUCGGGUGCACCAGAGCAGAAAGACCCCCCUCCUCUAAUCCACUCCUUACGCAAAUAAACCUUCAUACGUUAUGUGACUGCUUGAAUAGAGGUUGAACAUUAGGAAUCUAAAAAGAGAAAGUCCUGAAAAGGGAAGCUGCUUGUUGUGGAUAUUAUCGACCACCAUGGCUUCCACACCCUCCACCUCUGCCCUGUCUGCUGUUCUCCGGUGUCGGGGAAAUAUCUGGACCAGGAAUCCGCCGACGAAGCGGCCUGCCACCUCGGCGUACAGCCUGGGUCUGACCGGCGGCUCGCCAGCUGAGCGCACCCGGUCAAACCAGGCGUCAGCGUGGGAGCCUUCUCUCCAAGGAGACCGUGUACUGGGGACGCGCACUCAUCUGGUGUCCAAAACGCGCUGGUGCGUCAGCAGGCAAGCAGACUGACUUUUAACUUGCCUGGAUUAGACACGUGCUCUCAAAUAAUUCGAAAGAUUAAUUGCAAAACAUAUUAUGCUACACACAUCUGUAAAAUACUAUUUGUUCAGGAAAUGAGUGUAUUCCCAGUUUUGAACGUGCUCAUAACGUCUCCGUGUGUGAUGGAGAAUGCAAGACAAAUACCGUCUUUCGUGUUAACUGGCUGGUCAACCCUGAAGAGUAGCUGUGUGUCUUUGACUGCUCUGGUGUCAGAAUUCAUGUUUUUAAAGCUGGCGGUGUUGUGGAGGUCCAGCAGCAGCCCUGAUGAUGCGCUAAAGCGGCACAACAUAAAAGCAAUGCCCUGCAGGCCAAUGGACAAAUCCACAGUCCCCCUGGCAUCACCUCCUCCAAGGACAACUCCGGCUCUGGACAAAUGAUCCCAGAGGACAGACCUGACUGAGAGUCCAAGGCCUCAGCACCAAAAACACACACUGUGAUCUAACCUUAUUUAUUGACUUUUACUUGGCUUUCAAAAUGCACAAAGCACAUUUGGACUUUAACCCAGUGAUACAACAACUGGUUGUUUUUAGAGCAGUUUGUUUUUUUGCUUUAAGGAAAAGUAAGACAUUCUGUGACAAGAAAUACCUGAGAAACAUCAGUCACAUGCAUUGUUUAGUACAUUAGGCCUCCUAGUGGAGAGGUAAAAUAAUGGCAGUGCAUUUUAUUUUUGAGGUUACCCUGUAGCUAAACAAAAACUUAUUUUGCAAACUGGAGUAAAACUAAAAGUAGGCCUAUUACAUCUCAGAAAAUGGAAAUAUUCCAAGUUUAAGUACAAACUAAAUGUGGAGGAAUAAUUGAAAGAUUUGUACUUAUUCUUUCCUCUUGUGUUUUGAAGAUGUUUGCUUGAUUUUUCACUCUGAAAUAUAUUUUGGAUAAAAAAUAUAGAUCCCUACAAAUGUCAAAGAUCACUUGCAUAAAUGUAGCCAUCUUUUAUACUUUCCAGAUGUUUUAACAGUGUCCUGUAAAGUAUGAAAGUCCUGUCAGAAGAAGUAUAUCAGAUCUUUUACUUUAGUAAAAAUAGCAUAUAUAGCAAUGCCUUUUAUUUCCACACAGCGUUAUUACUACUCUUACUUAAAAGAUCUGAGUGCUUCUUCCAUCACUACAUGUGAUGCUAUACCAUGGCCAGUCGUUAGCUUAGCUUAGCAUAAAGACUGGAAACAAGGGCAAACAACUAUAGCUCAUCUGGCUCUGUCCGAAGAUAAGAUCCACCUACCAGCACCUCUAAAGCUCAUUAAUUAACACGCUUUAUUUCAUUUCUUUACGUAAUAGGUUAUGUGGGCUACAAAAACUGAUGGCAAAAAUUACAAUUCCCCAUUUAAGGCCCAACUAGUUGGGACAAGUAACUCUGCUGGUUGCCUGGCAAGUGGCACUAGCCAAGAAAUAGUUUGGCACGUAAACCCCCAUAAAAUGUCUUUACACUUCUUCUUCUUUCAACAAAUGAGGUAUAAUAUGUUAAUCAGUGAGUUUACGGUGCUGGUUGGCAUGAUUUGUCACAUUUGGACAGAGCAAAUAGUUUUCCCCCCAAAAUAGUACUUUUCCUUUAUAGGCCACUUGGUUACAGUCCCCCACUGCUGCUGAAAUGACCUGGUGAAAGAAGUAGAUUGAGUCAGAAAUUUUACUCAAAUCGAAGUAGCAAUACCACAGUUUAAAAAUACUCUUUUACAAGUAAAAGUCAUACAUUCCAAAUCUUACUUAAGCAAAAGUACAAACGUAUUGACACCAAUCAAUUACUGGAUUAUAAUUAGUAAUGCAUUCUGUGUCCAUCACUUUAUUUGUGGGGCUAAUUACUUUUAUACAUGUUGGGUGGCUUAAUAAUAAUAAUAAUAAAUAAUAUAUCAUAAUUCAUUAGCCUAGUUAAUUCUGUAUUAAUUAUCUGAAUCUGCAAAGUAGUAACUGAUAAAUAGGCCUAAGUGUAAUGGAGUAUAAAGUACAAUAUUUCCCUGAAAUGUAGUAAAGUAGAAGUAUAAAGUAUCAUAAAAUGGAUAUACUCAAAUUAAGUAGGCUACAAGCAGUACCUGAAAAUUGUACAUAAGUAGGCCUGCAGUACAUGAGUAAAUGUAGGCCUAUAUUAGUUAAGUUACUUUACACCGUUGGAAACACCCUACAGAUAAAAAGAAGUAGGAAGGAAAAACGCUGUUAUAUGCUGUUUGGGAGAUUGUCAUCAGUGUAGAUAAUGAAAACCACAUUUCUCCACUAAACCAAACACUUUGCCAAUGACUUCUCUGCAGCUCAAGAAAAAAAUGUAUGUUGUUACAUAAGAUAGGAUCUCUUCAUUACCAUAUUUCGACGCCACAGUGUGUGAAAGCAGACAAUAAAUGUUUACAAAGACAUCAAAGGCUGCUGUUUCUUAAUUAGCUCCACUGAGAGCCGCUCG